CUCUGUAAUGAGAUGUGAAAAGAGAGAAUUGAUGUCCCUGACUAACAGCAUCAGACCUUUUGACACCUGCUUGACCAGGAUUUGGAUAAAAGGAGAAUUUCUGCAGGAAAAUAACUCUUAGAAAAGAAACUUAGGAAUACAGAGUAAGCAUUUCUUCCUGGAAGCCUUGUGUGAGAGACAUAAAGACAGUCUCAGAUUCUUACUCACAAGCAGUCAAAGGCUGCACCUCUGAAAUAAAAAGGGACACACAGAUGUAAGGAGUUAGUCCUUGCUCCAGAGGAUUUGACAGAGUGGCUGAUGUCAAGGAGAACAAGGAUGCAGAAGAAACUCAAGAUGUAUGUAUUAAAACAAAAGAACAAUAACCUGAAGGGACCAUGAUUCUGUUAUUGUAUAUAACACAAGGAAAUGCCCCAGAUUCUCCUUUAAAAGAUAUAAUGUACAUAUUAAGUAUACUAGCCUUUAUAGUUACUGCUAUCUACAUGUUUAUCAAAAUAAAAGACUAUUUUUUUCUAAA
RNAcentral lists this long non-coding RNA (514 nucleotides) under Homo sapiens (human). RNAcentral's name for it is "non-protein coding lnc-NFYA-1:20". Lineage: Eukaryota; Metazoa; Chordata; Mammalia; Primates; Hominidae. The record is from RNAcentral.